AAAUUGAAGAGUUUGAUCAUGGCUCAGAUUGAACGCUGGCGGCAGGCCUAACACAUGCAAGUCGAACGGUAACAGGAAGCAGCUUGCUGCUUCGCUGACGAGUGGCGGACGGGUGAGUAAUGUCUGGGAAACUGCCUGAUGGAGGGGGAUAACUACUGGAAACGGUAGCUAAUACCGCAUAAUGUCGCAAGACCAAAGAGGGGGACCUUCGGGCCUCUUACCAUCGGAUGUGCCCAGAUGGGAUUAGCUUGUUGGUGGGGUAACGGCUCACCAAGGCGACGAUCCCUAGCUGGUCUGAGAGGAUGACCAGCCACACUGGAACUGAGACACGGUCCAGACUCCUACGGGAGGCAGCAGUGGGGAAUAUUGCACAAUGGGCGCAAGCCUGAUGCAGCCAUGCCGCGUGUAUGAAGAAGGCCUUCGGGUUGUAAAGUACUUUCAGCGGGGAGGAAGGGAGUAAAGUUAAUACCUUUGCUCAUUGACGUUAUCCGCAGAAGAAGCACCGGCUAACUCCGUGCCAGCAGCCGCGGUAAUACGGAGGGUGCAAGCGUUAAUCGGAAUUACUGGGCGUAAAGCGCACGCAGGCGGUUUGUUAAGUCAGAUGUGAAAUCCCCGGGCUCAACCUGGGAACUGCAUCUGAUACUGGCAAGCUUGAGUCUCGUAGAGGGGGGUAGAAUUCCAGGUGUAGCGGUGAAAUGCGUAGAGAUCUGGAGGAAUACCGGUGGCGAAGGCGGCCCCCUGGACGAAGACUGACGCUCAGGUGCGAAAGCGUGGGGAGCAAACAGGAUUAGAUACCCUGGUAGUCCACGCCGUAAACGAUGUCGACUUGGAGGUUGUGCCCUUGAGGCAUGGCUUCCGGAGCUAACGCGUUAAGUCGACCGCCUGGGGAGUACGGCCGCAAGGUUAAAACUCAAAUGAAUUGACGGGGGCCCGCACAAGCGGUGGAGCAUGUGGUUUAAUUCGAUGCAACGCGAAGAACCUUACCUGGUCUUGACAUCCACGGAAGUUUUCAGAGAUGAGAAUGUGCCUUCGGGAACCGUGAGACAGGUGCUGCAUGGCUGUCGUCAGCUCGUGUUGUGAAAUGUUGGGUUAAGUCCCGCAACGAGCGCAACCCUUAUCCUUUGUUGCCAGCGGUCCGGCCGGGAACUCAAAGGAGACUGCCAGUGAUAAACUGGAGGAAGGUGGGGAUGACGUCAAGUCAUCAUGGCCCUUACGACCAGGGCUACACACGUGCUACAAUGGCGCAUACAAAGAGAAGCGACCUCGCGAGAGCAAGCGGACCUCAUAAAGUGCGUCGUAGUCCGGAUUGGAGUCUGCAACUCGACUCCAUGAAGUCGGAAUCGCUAGUAAUCGUGGAUCAGAAUGCCACGGUGAAUACGUUCCCGGGCCUUGUACACACCGCCCGUCACACCAUGGGAGUGGGUUGCAAAAGAAGUAGGUAGCUUAACCUUCGGGAGGGCGCUUACCACUUUGUGAUUCAUGACUGGGGUGAAGUCGUAACAAGGUAACCGUAGGGGAACCUGCGGUUGGAUCACCUCCUUA
This 1542-nucleotide ribosomal RNA is filed under the name Shigella boydii CDC 3083-94. RNAcentral describes it as "Bacterial small subunit ribosomal RNA". It matches the Rfam family "Bacterial small subunit ribosomal RNA". The record is from Rfam by way of RNAcentral. Lineage: Bacteria; Pseudomonadati; Pseudomonadota; Gammaproteobacteria; Enterobacterales; Enterobacteriaceae.